GGAUAUGACAUUUCCAUUUUUACAUGUAACAUGAGACCAACUGAAACAUGGAGUGACAAAAUCAAUGUUCCAAUCUUUGAUUUUAUUGUGUGAAUCAUUCAGAGCCCUCAGCAACUCAAUUAAAGCAUGACCUUCAACAUCAUAAUCGUUUGAGGAGAGACCAUUGCUGCAUAAAAGUAGGAAUAUCAGCAAGUUCAAGUGAAAUUUCCAGGACGAAAAGGCUGUAGACAUUGAAUUUUCCCUAUCAACCAGAGGAGAGCUUCCACUUGAUCCUUCUCCUUGUUUUCGAUACUCUUUAUAACAACAACAACAACAACAAUUGCGCCUCAAUCUCAAACAAGUCUAGGUCGGAGAAUAUGAUGUCAAAGAAAUAGGCCUUGUAGCUGG
Molecule: unclassified non-coding RNA, 387 nt
Filed under: Hevea brasiliensis (rubber tree)
Lineage: Eukaryota; Viridiplantae; Streptophyta; Magnoliopsida; Malpighiales; Euphorbiaceae
Source: RNAcentral